GAUGAAGAACGUAGUGAAAUGCGAUACUUGGUGUGAAUUGCAGAAUCCCGUGAACCAUCGAGUCUUUGAACGCAAGUUGCGCCUCAAGCCAUUAGGUUGAGGGCACGUCUGCCUGGGCGUCACAUAUCGUUGCCUGAUGCCAGUUUCCUCGUGAUGGGUGACUGUGCAGGGCGAAUGAUGGCUUCCCGUGAGCAUUGUUGCCUCAUGGUUGGUUGAAAAUUGAGUCCUUGGUAGGGAGCGCCGUGAUAGAUGGUGGUUGAGUGACAAACGAGACCCAAUCAUGUGAGACCCCUACCGAAUUUGGCCUUCAUGACCCACAUGCGUCUUUGGAACGCUCAUGACGAGACCUCAGGUCAGGCGGGGCUACCCGCUGAGUUUAAGCAUGUCAAUAAGCGGAGGA
RNAcentral lists this unclassified non-coding RNA (400 nucleotides) under soil metagenome. RNAcentral's name for it is "partial contains 5.8S ribosomal RNA, internal transcribed spacer 2, and large subunit ribosomal RNA". The stretch from base 1 to 122 matches the Rfam family "5.8S ribosomal RNA", at positions 35 to 154 of the family's 154-position model. The record is from RNAcentral.